UGGAUCCAGACUUUGAUUCUGGCUCAGGACGAACGCUGGCGGCGUGCCUAAUACAUGCAAGUCGAACGAAGCUUUCUUUCACCGAAUGCUUGCAUUCACCGAAAGAAGCUUAGUGGCGAACGGGUGAGUAACACGUAGGCAACCUGCCCAAAAGAGGGGGAUAACACUUGGAAACAGGUGCUAAUACCGCAUAACCAUGAACACCGCAUGAUGUUCAUGUAAAAGACGGCUUUUGCUGUCACUUUUGGAUGGGCCUGCGGCGUAUUAACUUGUUGGUGGGGUAACGGCCUACCAAGGUGAUGAUACGUAGCCGAACUGAGAGGUUGAUCAGCCACAUUGGGACUGAGACACGGCCCACACUCCUACGGGAGGCAGCAGUAUGGAAUCUUUCACAAUGGACGAAAGUCUGAUGGAGCAAUGCCGCGUGAAUGAAGAAUGCCUUCGGGUCGUA
RNAcentral lists this ribosomal RNA (451 nucleotides) under uncultured organism. RNAcentral describes it as "bacterial SSU rRNA". It matches the Rfam family "Bacterial small subunit ribosomal RNA", at positions 1 to 427 of the family's 1533-position model. The record is from RNAcentral.